UUAAAGUAUAAAACUGAAUUAUGUGUCUCUUAUGACAAACUUAUUUUAGCCCCAUUGAUACAUGCCAAUCUUGCUUAAGGUGUUCAAAAGAAAUGGAUUAUGUGUUUUUGUUUUUAAUCUUUAGUGCUUUAUCAAAUGAUAUACUUCCUUAACGGUAAAUUGGCCAUAAUAAUAUAUCAUUACAUUUUGAGCACACCAUGUCACUAUGUUAGGUGCCUUUCGGCAUAUUUUAGGAAAUUGCUCAAUGUUGGUUCUUUUGGGUUUUUGUGGUCUAAACAAUAUAGUCGAAUCUAUUGUCUCAAACAUCAAUGGUGUACUUUGUUGUUGGCUUUGCAAUGUUUAACGUUAUAUAUUGACUUUGAUUUGAUGAAGUGGAAUGCUGUGUCUGCAAAAUGCCUAUUCAAGUUUAUCUCUUUGAGAGUUUCUUCACUAUAGUACUUUAUCAAGCUUAAUUGUGUUUUUCUUUUUGGUUUUAUAUAUUUUGACAGCUUUAUCAAGUGGAUUAGUUGAAUUUUGUUUGAUUAAUGAGCCAGAAGAAGAAAAGUUUGACUGAUUUUGGUUAUGGCAGUAAGGAGACUUUACCAGGUGGAGUUUCAGUCAAUAAAAAGAGAGUUGAAAAAGGGAUUUCACAACUAAAGGUUUUCACUUUGUUUCUUUCUACUCUCUUCUGAUUUUGGAUUAUCAAACCCAGUUUUAGAUAUUAUUCAAUUAUGGAACUAAUAAUAAACUAUAUUAUAUAAUAUAAUCUCUUAUACUAUAACAAGCUCCCCUUUCUCCUUCAAGCAAGAGAUGUUGGUCUCAUUCUCACUUUCGUCUUGAGUAGUCUUUUAUUUUUGUCUUUGGAAAGCAAUUAAUGUAUGUAUGCUAAUAUAAAAUAUAUUAAAAGCUACACGUGAGGAUAUAUAAUGAUAACUUCCAUGUCAAAUUUCAGUAGCUCUAGUAAUUAAUAAUCUCCAAAAAGGUCCGUCGGCAACAUCAUUCAAUUCCUAUUAUGUAUAAUUCAUCCCAAUAAGGUUAAUUAAUUUCUCAAUAUAGAUAUAUAUAUAUAUAUAUGUUUGCAUAGCAUGUUAUAUAGCUUGGUUCUUAGCAAAAAUGGCAUAUAUAUGCAUGCCUCUUCCCCUUGUUGCCAUUGGUAAGUGUAACUCCCUACAGUAUCUAAGCGUUAGUGGCUGUCAUCAAAUUGGUGAUGCUGGAAUAAUGGCCAUUGCAAGAGGUUGUCCUCAACUUACCUACCUAGACGUGAGUGUUCUCCAGAGGGAAGAAGCAAUAUGUUUUUUUGCUUCAGUCAUUGUUCACCAAGGAUGCUGAAGUACUAGCAAUUGUUGGUACUGGAGUAUUGUUUGUCAGUGCUAGUCAACCUCUGAACGCACUAGCUUAUGUUUUUGAUGGUCUCCAUUAUGGUGCUUCGGAUUUUGCAUAUGCUGCCCGUGCCAUGAUGGUGGUGGGAGGAAUGUCUUCUGCAUUUUUGCUAUAUACUCCGGCAGUCAUUGGUCUUCCCGGGAUUUGGUUAGGGUUGACUCUGUUUAUGGGUUUGCGGGUGGUGGCUGGAUUUUACAGGUAUGCAUACAAUAUUUGAGUUCCUUUUUCUUAAUUAAAACAAUAAAAGACAUAAAAUUUAUGAUGAAGCAUGAACUAUGGGAUUUUCAAACUCUUAUAAAUAGCAUUCUAUAUUGCUUGCUAUAAUGUUUUGAUUCUAUAUUGCGAAUACUCUGUUUGGCAGUGGAAUUUUCUCUUCGUUCAUCUCUUAGCUUAUUGUUUCUCUUUUGUGUUUUUUGAUGGUUUAACACAAUGCUAUCUUUUGGGCUAUUAGCUUUCUGAUCUGAACAGCACAAAAGAAUAAUUUCUAUCAAAUAUUACUUGAUGUAAAUACUAUGCUUUAAUUUAUCUUUGACUUCUAUCACUUUGCUUAGUUUAUGAUUGGUCUAUUUUUCAAAAUAAAAUAAUUUACCAAGUAAACAAUAGACUUUAUAGCAUGUAAUUCUUGAGACUAGUAUGAAUAGAACUAAUUUUUUAUUAGAGAGCAAGCCUUAUUUUUUUAAUUUGUAAAUAUGAUUUUGUUUUUCAGCAUUUGGGUUAGCAUUUAUAACUUGAAUUUCAAAUUGGAAGGUCACUUUUGUUUUAAUACUAUGAAAAUUUCAGGGUCAUGUAUAGUUUCUCCUUGAAAUUAACAUGAUUUUACUUUUCAUUAUAUAGUUUCUCCUUUAAUUUUCUUGAUUUUACCCAACUGAAGAGUUUUUACUUCUAUUUUUGUUGUUAUUGAAUUUUUGGAGCUUGUUUUCCUUGGUCAAAAAUAAAAUUUUAUUUUAGCAAGAACAAAAAAGAUAAAAUAUACUGUAGUUGUUGCAUCACUUUAUGUCUUAAUCAAUUGUUAGUAACUUGAUCUUGGGAAUUGGUAGUUUAGUUUGUUGGCGGGAAUUUCAUUGCAUUAGAAAGCUUUAAGACUGCAUAGAGCAUAAUAUUUGGUUGACAUGUCUUUGCUUACAUCCUGGUUAGAUGUUUGCUUCAUAAUGUAUAAUGAUAUGACUUAAGUCAAGUUUUUGUGCCAUGCUUGCUUGAUUUCUUGUUGUGUUAAUAGUAUGUUGUUGAAUGUGGUGAUUUUUUUUUGUCUAAAGCGGCUAAAAUGAUUCUGCUCUACUUUAAUAUGGUCUGCACUACUUUAAUAUGGUCAAGGCAAACUAUGUUAUAAAGUAUGUGGAAGAACGUUUAAAUUGCAUUUUAUUUCAGUAGCUAUUAAUUUUGAUAAACACCUCAUAGGAAUAGAGGUGCUCAUUGUGUGUUCUCUUAAGAAAUCAUCUAGUCUCCUGGACUUGUAAUUCACUUUUACGCUAUCUUCUCUUCAUAGUUUUGACUAAAUAAUUUCUAUUCUCACUGCUAUUAAAUGUGAGAGAUGUCUUGAAUCAUGCUUAUGCUUGUUGUGUGCAAUGCUUGCAGUUUGGAUUUUAUUGUGAUUUUUUGUGAGCUUAUUUUUAUGUCAAGUUGAGAGCAUGGCAGCUUGUUAACUUGGCACUUUAAAAUUUCUCACAUUAAUAGGCUUAUGAUGCUACCUUGUUCUGUAUUACUAUGUUCUAUACCUUUAGAGGAUUUCGAGGAUGAAGUCUCUCUUUUAAUUGCUAGAGACUCAUGGUUCUUGGUUUUGACAAUGGAUAAUGAUGUAGGAUUUUUAAAAUCUGAUCACAACAUAAAACUAAGAACCCACUUCUGAAUUAUCUUAAGUUGUUUGAUCUCACCAAGGGAUUAUCUUUUGCUGCUGGUUUUAAUGAAGUUUGAAGUGGUUUGGUGCUAUUAUCAGUAAUCCUUCCAUAACUUUAAAUUUCAGCCAAAUGUACUGAACUAUUGUUGUGGCUGGAAAGCAUCAAUUAUAUGUUUGUUUUGUUUUUAGACAGAGCAAAGGGAAUUACUGGCUUUGAUUUUCUUGUUCUUUUUUACCUUAUUGUUUAUGUUCUUGAUUUUAUAAUUAUCAUUUUUCUUACUCUCAUUGGUUGUCCUGAGAGUGAGGAUAAUGAAAAGUUGGGUUUCAUUUCUUUGUUGUUUGUAUUUUUGAAAGAAAUCAACAUUCAGAGGCUGGGGUGAUGUCUUUUAUUUUAUUUUUUGAGAUGCAGAGGUGAUGCUUUAAAAGUAUUAAUUAUUAUCAAAUGAGUUGAGGUAUUUUUUGAGCCAAAUAUUGGUUUGGUUUUGUGAUUGGAGAAUAGUGGAGUGUAUGUAUGUUGAUGAUCAUAUAUUGCUAUAUCGUAUAGAGAGAAAAUGAACUCUAGUCUUGGUGUCUGGAGUGUAAAGAGAUUUAUUCUUCUUCUUUGUUUAUGAUAGACAUACAAAAAUUCAAAUAAAGAAGACUAUAACUUAACUAUCCCAAAAUUGAGAAUAGUUUCUGGUAACAUACUGUCCUUACUCAGAUAAGGUAACAAAUAAUAGGUUAGUAUGGUAUCCUCGAUUUUUGAUUGAAAACGGAUGAGAGAAACAAAAUAGUAAGCAAAGUAUUAUGGAAACUGGAAAGGCUUCUCAGAUUAGUUGGGGGCUGAUGCCAUUGUCUUAGAUAUGAAUGGUCUAGAAUCUGUGAAACUGAGACACUAAAACACAGCUAACAAAGAAUAGCACCACAUUAACUGAACCAUUUAUUACUCAUGUAGAAUAAAAUCACUCUGUAGACACUAAAACACAGCUAACACUAGAAUAUUUGAUUUUGGCAUACCUGAUCUUGCAACAAGUUUAUAUGUUUUAUCCUCGUGCUUAGUUAAAAUCACUCUGAUUGUUGCAGCAAUCACAAGUGCAUGUGCAAAGUGCAUAGUUUGAGGUUUUCAAACAGGUUGCUGCAUUUUGUUUAUGCAAUAUUUUUUCAUGGCAACUUUUCAUUUGGCUAGAAAAUAAUUGCUGGAAAACUUGUUAUAUGUAGAAGUUGAACCUUGCAUAUAAUUUUGAUAUUCCACUAUAAAAAUAUUUGAAAAAUAUUAUACUCCAAAUCCAAAAGAAAAAAAAAGAACAGAAUAAGUAAAGAAUAAAUGAAGUACCUAACGUAUAAUAACAAAUUAAGAACUGAAACAAUUGCAGAAAUGGAGCACGUGAUUUUUUUUAGGUACCAUUUGAUCUAUAUAAUAUACAUGGAUAUAUACAUGUAACAUCAGCCAUACAUUAUAUAUCAAUGAAAAAUUGAAAAUAAAACUCUUGUUUCAUAUCAGGCAAUGAGUCUAUAUUCCUCAGUAUUACUAUCUGCUAUUGAUAUCUGAUUUCCAUGUUCAGGAGAGGAUAUUUUUGUAUGCAUCUGUUUGGAAAUCUUGAUAUUAUUAUUUGAUGAUGAGGGUGAAAAUAACUUAAUAGCUUGAUGCUAAUUUCUUAUUUUCUUUCCCAAUUUCCAUGAGCCUAGAUCAUAGCUCCUACCAGUUUUUCUUUUGGGUUUAUUCUGGCUAUAUAGUGGCUGUAGUUAAGGUGUUUGGUCAAAGGAAAAUCUCUUUAAUGCUUUAAAUUUUGUUAUCUAUGUUUCUGUAAAUCCGCUUGUAUUCGGACCAAUUGCAGCGGCGCAGGAAGGGACUCCUCCAACAGGUUCUGUCAGCCCUCUUCUUUCUUUGUAUUCAACUUUUUCUUUGUUAUUAUCGAAUUGAUUGAAAGCUGAAAUAGUUAUUAUUGAGAAGAUUGAAUGCUGAAAUAGAUAAUAUAGAAUUGAGCAGUGGGUUUAUACUUUAUAUUUUUGAGUAAUUGAUGUGGUUACUGGUUUAUAUAUUGCUUAAUAUCUUGUUUUCACUUGAGAAUAUUCAUUUGGACAUUUGGUUUCAAAUCUUUUAUUUUUCUCAGCUUUUCAUUUUUAAAGCACACAAGUGUUUGGCAAAAUGUGUCAGAUAAUAUUACUUAUUGUUUGUUUCACAAAAUGUCCCAGAGAAUUAUAAGCAUAUUUUAAAUGAUUGUUUGUUUGAAUAGUAAGAAUGUCUGAGAGAAUAUAUAUAUAUGUCAUGAUCUUUGUAAUCAAUCUCAUUUUUACACACUAGAAAAAACUAAGAUCAGUUGGGCAGUUUACAAUUGGAUUUUUGCCACCCGAAAUAUACAUUGGUUUGGUUGAACACUAUAAUAUGCAUGUGUACCUAUAAGAUACAAAAUAAACAUAUAAGAAUCUGAUCUCACUUGGCUAGUGGUUGCUCAUUUUUUUGUUCUGUUACCAGAAAAAAUAUUUGGACAUGGAAGUAGUGUGUUCGAAAGUUUCAAACUUUGGAUUAUUUUGGCUUUUAUUGAUUGUUGCUUUUACUAGUAGGCAGAAGUUAGGCCUUGUUUUAAGUUGCAUGUUUUGUUGCUUUAGUCGUUGUUUUUCAUGGUAGUACAUCUUGCUAUACCCUGCUGUUUCGUCAAGUUUUGGAGUUAUUACAAAUUUAAUUUAAACUUUAUAUGCUUACAGGUGGAAACUAGCUUAAGUCUUAUGUUCUUAAUAAUAAAAGGACUUUUUUUUUUACAAUGUGCAGGUAUAUUGAGAUGAUUUCUUUGGAGCAAUUCCUGACAACAUUUGUAGUUGAAGCCUUUAGAAUAGAAGAAUGUAUUUCACUAAUUUUUGUAUACAUUUCUUGUUUUGUAUUUAGUGAUAAAGGAAUCUGAAUUGGGCAUAAAUUAUGUUGUAAUAUGAUUUCUUAAGCCUAGACUAGUAGACUAAAUAUUGUAAUUACAUUUGAGUAAUUAAUAAAAAUCUAUUUAUGUUA
Humulus lupulus (European hop) is the source of this 6167-nucleotide long non-coding RNA. RefSeq lists it as uncharacterized. The transcript is spliced from 4 exons. Lineage: Eukaryota; Viridiplantae; Streptophyta; Magnoliopsida; Rosales; Cannabaceae. The record is from RefSeq and is a predicted model, not a curated record.